AAUGCUUUUUAUACUGAAGUUCCCAGAAUCUUCCAGCUAACAUGUUCCAAAGGCACUUGGCAUAAACAGCCAAGACCAGGCCCUUUGAUUGGCUCUGGCAUCACGCAUUUUCUACUUUCUCUGAGGUUCUCCUGCCAGCCUCUUCCAGUGGGCACUUUCAUGAAUGCACUAAGGAUUUACAGUUCCAUGCAGAGAUUAUUUACGAUAAAUGUCAUAGAUGGACAAGCCACCAGGAGCCUUAAAGUAUUAAGAAAAACUGAAUCAAUGGUGUUUAAUGAUAAAUUAUUCACAAGUUAUGUAAAGAUGCAGAGAGCACCCAACAAGAUGCAGAGUAUUCCUGUGCUGACUGCAGUUCAGAUGAGAAACAAGGCAUGUUAGGAGCAAAAGAUCAAGGCAGGCUUGGAACAGAUGUUAUUUCUCAAUACUGUUGAUGUUUGAACUCUCUUCUUGUUUUUAAUGUCUUUUUGCUAUUAUUUUUAUCUACUGGUUUAAUAUAUUAGUUGAAUUCUUUUAAAUAUUGUAAUAAUUUGUUGUUUUAGCUUUUUAAUAUAUUUUACUUUAAAACUGUAAGCCUGCUUUAAUCCCUUUUAGGAGAAACGUAAUUUGUUGUUUUAGCUUUUAAUAUAUUUUCUUUUAAAACUGUAAGCCAGCUUCGAUCCCUUUUAGGAGAAAUGUGGCAUAUAAAUAAAUUAAUUAAAUAAUUAAAUAAAUAGACA
This 716-nucleotide long non-coding RNA is filed under the name Pogona vitticeps (central bearded dragon). Its description in RNAcentral is "lncRNA (ENSPVIG00000024341.1)". Lineage: Eukaryota; Metazoa; Chordata; Lepidosauria; Squamata; Agamidae. The record is from RNAcentral.